Molecule: transfer RNA, 72 nt
Filed under: Elusimicrobiota bacterium
Lineage: Bacteria; Pseudomonadati; Elusimicrobiota
Description: tRNA-Arg
Rfam family: tRNA
About the family: Transfer RNA (tRNA) molecules are approximately 80 nucleotides in length.
Source: RNAcentral
GCGCCUAUAGUUCAAUGGAUAGAGCGCCAGCCUCCGAAGCUGGUAAUGCAGGUUCAACUCCCGCUAGGCGCA